This 460-nucleotide ribosomal RNA is filed under the name uncultured bacterium. RNAcentral's name for it is "partial 16S ribosomal RNA". It matches the Rfam family "Bacterial small subunit ribosomal RNA", at positions 338 to 795 of the family's 1533-position model. The record is from RNAcentral.
CCUACGGGUGGCAGCAGUGAGGAAUAUUGGUCAAUGGCCGUAAGGCUGAACCAGCCAAGUCGCGUGAAGGAAGAAGGAUCUCUGGUUUGUAAACUUCUUUUAUAGGGGGAUAAAGGUAUCCUUGUGUGGAUAUUAGCAUGUACCCUAUGAAUAAGCAUCGGCUAACUCCGUGCCAGCAGCCGCGGUAAUACGGAGGAUGCGAGCGUUGUCCGGAUUUAUUGGGUUUAAAGGGUCCGUAGGUUGUGUUUUAAGUCAGCUGUGAAAGUUUGUGGCUCAACCAUAAAAUUGCCGUUGAUACUGGAAGACUUGAGUGUGUUUGAGGUAGGCGGAAUGCGAGGUGUAGCGGUGAAAUGCAUAGAUAUCACGCAGAACUCCGAUUGCGAAGGCAGCUUACUAAGCCAUAACUGACACUGAAGCACGAAAGCGUGGGGAUCAAACAGGAUUAGAUACCCUUGUAGUC